Molecule: long non-coding RNA, 476 nt
Filed under: Homo sapiens (human)
Lineage: Eukaryota; Metazoa; Chordata; Mammalia; Primates; Hominidae
Description: ATP13A5 antisense RNA 1
Source: RNAcentral
AGAGACAAACCCCAGGAGAGCCUGAGGUCCUCCAGAGGGAUAUUAGUGAGUGGCUUGUCUGAGCAAAAGCCAUUUCUACUCACCCCACAGUCGUUAGCUCCAUCUCCACACAUGCCCACAUAAUAACUGCGGGAGACAGGAGAAGAAGGAUUAAUAGGUCCAGUCUCUUGGUUCUCCACCAGCUGCCAGGUCACAGAGGCAGGAACAAAUUCUUCUGGUUCAUCGGCCUCAACAAUGAUCACUUGGCUGCCUGGAGGGAUCAUUUCAGAAUUCUUUGCAACAGUAAUGGCCGUUUGAAGGUUAUCACCUAGAAGACAAAGAAACUUUGCUUGCUGUAUGUACAAACCUCCCCUCAGCAACAAGAACUGAGGUCUCCCUUUUCCACUCUGCUUGGUGUUCUUUGAGAGCAUUUACCGCUUUCUGCCUUAUUUUAUCUUCCUCUCUGCUGUAGACUGCCCCUACUGGGCAAACACUAU